Pelobates cultripes (western spadefoot toad) is the source of this 217-nucleotide non-coding RNA. The record is from the annotation of a GenBank genome assembly. Lineage: Eukaryota; Metazoa; Chordata; Amphibia; Anura; Pelobatidae.
CUGGUAGUUUUUAGAAUUUGGGUCAAUUUAAGAGGCCUCUGCAUGCAUUUAAGAUCUUUUGAAUGGAUUUCAUUUUUAUUUUCGUAAGUGCAAAAAGAAGAGUAUUGUAUGUCCGAGAAGAGCUUUUUGUGAUCUCUUUCCCUUGGUCUGAGUGUACGUGACGAUAGGAGUGGCUCUGGGUAUAAUGCAGAUUCUUUGAUGAAACUGAGAUUCAAAU